Molecule: ribosomal RNA, 821 nt
Filed under: uncultured bacterium
Lineage: Bacteria
Description: bacterial SSU rRNA
Rfam family: Bacterial small subunit ribosomal RNA
Source: RNAcentral
GCCUAACACAUGCAAGUCGAACGCAGUAGCAAUACUGAGUGGCAGACGGGUGAGUAACAUGUGGGAAUCUGCCUUGUGGUUCAGGACAACAUUGGGAAACCGAUGCUAAUACUGGAUAAGCCCUUACGGGGAAAGUUUUAAUGCCAUAAGAUGAGCCCGCAUUUGAUUAGUUAGUUGGUGAGGUAAUGGCUCACCAAGACAAUGAUCAAUAGCUGAUCUGAGAGGAUGAUCAGCCACACUGGGACUGAGACACGGCCCAGACUCCUACGGGAGGCAGCAGUGGGGAAUCUUGCACAAUGGAGGAAACUCUGAUGCAGCGAUGCCGCGUGAGUGAAGAAGGCCUUUGGGUUGUAAAGCUCUUUUGUAGGGGAAGAUAAUGACUGUACCCUAAGAAUAAGGUCCGGCUAACUUCGUGCCAGCAGCCGCGGUAAUACGAAGGGACCUAGCGUAGUUCGGAAUUACUGGGCGUAAAGCGCGCGUAGGCCGUUGAGUUAGUUAAUUGUGAAAUCCCAAAGCUUAACUUUGGAACUGCAAUUAAAACUGCUCGACUAGAGUUUGAUAGAGGAAAGCGGAAUACAUAGUGUAGAGGCGAAAUUCGUAGAUAUUAUGUAGAACACCAGUUGCGAAGGCGGCUUUCUGGAUCAACACUGACGCUGAGGCGCGAAAGUAUGGGUAGCAAAGAGGAUUAGAUACCCUCGUAGUCCAUACCAUAAACGAUGAUUGCUAGAUGUUGGAAAUUUAUUUUCAGUAUCGCAGCUAACGCAUUAAGCAAUCCGCCUGGGGAGUACGACCGCAAGGUUAAAACUCAAAUGAAUUGACGG